This 253-nucleotide ribosomal RNA is filed under the name uncultured bacterium. RNAcentral's name for it is "partial 16S ribosomal RNA". It matches the Rfam family "Bacterial small subunit ribosomal RNA", at positions 524 to 776 of the family's 1533-position model. The record is from RNAcentral.
UACGAAGGGUGCAAGCGUUGUUCGGAUUUAUUGGGCGUAAAGCGCGCGCAGGCGGUCUUGUAAGUCAGAUGUGAAAUCUCGGGGCUCAACCCCGAAACUGCGUCUGAAACUGCAAGACUAGAGUUAUGGAGGGGAAAGCGGAAUUUCGCAUGUAGGGGUAAAAUCCGUAGAGAUGCGAAGGAACACCAGAGCCGAAGGGGGCUUUCUGGCCAUAUACUGACGCUGAGGCGCGAAAGCGUGGGGAGCAAACAGG